This 253-nucleotide ribosomal RNA is filed under the name uncultured bacterium. RNAcentral describes it as "partial 16S ribosomal RNA". It matches the Rfam family "Bacterial small subunit ribosomal RNA", at positions 524 to 776 of the family's 1533-position model. The record is from RNAcentral.
UACAGAGGUGGCAAGCGUUGUUCGGAAUUACUGGGCGUAAAGGGUCCGUAGGCGGUGUAGCAAGUCGAUAGUGAAAUCUCUGGGCUUAACCCAGAGGCUGCUAACGAGACUGCUGUGCUAGAGUGUGAGAGAGGCGAGUGGAAUUACGGGUGUAGCGGUGAAAUGCGUAGAUAUCCGGAGGAACAUCCGAGGCGAAGGCGGCUCGCUGGAUCGCAACUGACGCUGAGGGACGAAAGCGAGGGGAGCAAACAGG